RNAcentral lists this unclassified non-coding RNA (429 nucleotides) under soil metagenome. RNAcentral's name for it is "partial contains 5.8S ribosomal RNA, internal transcribed spacer 2, and large subunit ribosomal RNA". The stretch from base 1 to 120 matches the Rfam family "5.8S ribosomal RNA", at positions 35 to 154 of the family's 154-position model. The record is from RNAcentral.
GAUGAAGAACGCAGCGAAAUGCGAUACGUAAUGUGAAUUGCAGAAUUCAGUGAAUCAUCGAAUCUUUGAACGCAUAUUGCGCUCUCUGGUAUUCCGGAGAGCAUGCUUGUUUGAGUAUCAGUAAACACCUCAACUCCCUUUUCUUUUUUGAAAUUGGAGCUGGACUUGAGUGAUCCCAACGCUUUCUUCCAAGAAAGUGGCGGGUUCUUGAAAUGCAGGUGCAGCUGAACUUUUCUCUGAGCUAUAAGCAUAUCUAUUUAGUCUGCCUAAAAAACAGAUUAUUACCUUUGCUGCAGCUAACAUAAAGGAGACUAGUUCUUGUGCUGACUGAUGCAGGAUUCACAGAGACAGCUUCGGCUGACUUUGUAAACUCGAUCUCAAAUCAAGUAAGACUACCCGCUGAACUUAAGCAUAUCAAUAAGCGGAGGA